This 111-nucleotide ribosomal RNA is filed under the name Caerostris darwini. Lineage: Eukaryota; Metazoa; Arthropoda; Arachnida; Araneae; Araneidae. The record is from RNAcentral.
AACGGCCGUACCAUGCUGAAUAUACCGGUUCUCGUUAGAUCACCGAAGUUAAGCAUCAUUGGGCGUGGUCAGUACUUGGCUGGGUGACCACCUGGGAACACCGCGUGCCGU